RNAcentral lists this ribosomal RNA (357 nucleotides) under Triticum aestivum (bread wheat). RNAcentral's name for it is "partial small subunit ribosomal RNA". The record is from RNAcentral. Lineage: Eukaryota; Viridiplantae; Streptophyta; Magnoliopsida; Poales; Poaceae.
AUGCUUCCUCGGAAUAUCGGCAUUGAUGUCGAGUAUACCAGGGAAGACAAACCUCCGCAAAUUGCUGCAGUUCUGCAGUUAUGCGUGGAGGAUCUCGUCCUGGUAUACCACAUCACCGCGACAACCAAAUGGCCCAAGGAACUCCGCCCGCUCCUGCAGGAGAAGAAGCUGUACACCUUUGUUGGCUUCUCCAUUGGAGGCGACAAGGAUAAGCUGAAGUUGUCUGGUUUAGAGAUCAACCCUGACAAGUACGUCGACUUGCAGUGCAAAUGGAGAUUUCCAAACAAUGAAAAGAAGUGGCAGUCUUUGGCUGAGUUUGCAGGCAGCCUCAUCCACCCUUCCUACAAGGAAAAAUGA